GACGAACGCUGGCGGCGUGCUUAACACAUGCAAGUCGAACGGAAAGGCCCUGCUUUUGUGUGGUUCUCGAGUGGCGAACGGGUGAGUAACACGUGUGUAACCUGCCCUUGACUUUGGGAUAACUUCAGGAAACUGGGGCGAAUACCCGAUAGGAGCUCCUGCUGCAUGUUGGGGGUUGGAAAGUGUCGGCGGUUGGGGAUGGACUCGCGGCUUAUCAGCUUGUUUGUGGGGUAGUGGCUUACCAAGGCUUUGACGGGUAGCCGGCAUGAGAGGGUGACCGGCCACAUUGGGACUGAGAUACGGCCCAGACGCGUACGGGAGGCAGCAGUGGGGAAUAUUGCACAAUGGGCGGAAGCCUGAUGCAGCAACGCCGCGUGCGGGAUGACGGCCUUCGGGUUGUAAACCGCUUUCGCCGGUGACGAAGCGUGAGUGACGGUAAUGGGUAAAGAAGCACCGGCUAACUACGUG
Molecule: ribosomal RNA, 468 nt
Filed under: uncultured bacterium
Lineage: Bacteria
Description: partial 16S ribosomal RNA
Rfam family: Bacterial small subunit ribosomal RNA
Source: RNAcentral